AGGGGGGCAACUCCCUGAGUACAGCGGCGCACGGGUGAGUAACACGUAGGUAACCUACCCUCGAGCCUGGGAUAACCUACCGAAAGGUGGGCUAAUACCGGAUGUGACCACGGGAGUUUCGGCCCCUGAGGUAAAAGAUGGCCUCUGCUUGCAAGCUAUCACUCGUGGAGGGGCCUGCGCGCCAUUAGCUAGUUGGCGGGGUAAUGGCCCACCAAGGCUCUGAUGGCUAGCUGGUCUGAGAGGAUGACCAGCCACACUGGGACUGAAACACGGCCCAGACUCCUACGGGAGGCAGCAGUGGGGGAUAUUGCGCAAUGGGCGAAAGCCUGACGCAGCGACGCCGCGUGGGUGAUGAAGGCCUUCGGG
This 366-nucleotide ribosomal RNA is filed under the name uncultured bacterium. RNAcentral describes it as "bacterial SSU rRNA". It matches the Rfam family "Bacterial small subunit ribosomal RNA", at positions 73 to 422 of the family's 1533-position model. The record is from RNAcentral.